AGAGUUUGAUCAUGGCUCAGGACGAACGCUGACGGCGUGCUUUAACAUGCAAGUCGAACGAGAACACCCUUCGGGGCCAGUAAAGUGGCGAACGGGUGAGUAACACGUGGGCAACCUGCCCCUCGCAGGGGGGACAACCGGAGGAAACUCCGGCUAAUACCCCGUAAGCUCUCGGGAUCGAGUGACCCCGGGAGGAAAGGUAGCUUCGGCCAUCCGGCGAGGGAUGGGCCCGCGGUACAUUAGCUAGUUGGUGGGGUAACGGCCCACCAAGGCGACGAUGUAUAGCUGGUCUGAGAGGAUGAUCAGCACACUGGACUGAACACGGCCAACUCCUACGAGCAGUCGAAUCUU
This 351-nucleotide ribosomal RNA is filed under the name uncultured bacterium. RNAcentral describes it as "bacterial SSU rRNA". It matches the Rfam family "Bacterial small subunit ribosomal RNA", at positions 8 to 365 of the family's 1533-position model. The record is from RNAcentral.